Molecule: transfer RNA, 62 nt
Filed under: Corynebacterium mastitidis
Lineage: Bacteria; Bacillati; Actinomycetota; Actinomycetes; Mycobacteriales; Corynebacteriaceae
Also listed under: 3 other names
Rfam family: tRNA
About the family: Transfer RNA (tRNA) molecules are approximately 80 nucleotides in length.
Source: RNAcentral
AUUAGCUCAAUUGGUAGAGCAACUGACUCUUAAUCAGUGGGUUCGGGGUUCGAGUCCCUGAU